Cololabis saira (Pacific saury) is the source of this 634-nucleotide long non-coding RNA. RefSeq lists it as uncharacterized. The record is from RefSeq and is a predicted model, not a curated record. Lineage: Eukaryota; Metazoa; Chordata; Actinopteri; Beloniformes; Belonidae. The transcript has 3 exons.
CAGACAGACGCCUGGACUCCCAUCAGCCCCGGAGACAGACACACCCGUGGACAUGCAGGCGUCCCUCUGACCCGUCCCUCUGACCCCGUCCCUCGACGGCAGGCCGGUCUCCAGACCAUGUGCACCACCAUCAUGGUCCUCUCCACCCUGGCCUUCGUCCUGCGUCGCCGCUUCUUCAGCGGCGCCAAAACCUCUCCAAAGGACCUGACAGAAGAAGAAGACGGCGCCUCCAGCCCCGAGUCCUGACCCUGACCAGGGAAACUCCCCGGGACACCAGAAUGCUCCUCCUCGUCACACAGACUCCAGCUCCUCUCAAUCUCCAUCAGACCUCCGUCCUCAGCUACGCCUGAGGUAGAAACGCCGCCCUGCUCCCGACGGCGUCGCCGCUCCGCCGCUGCAGAACUUUAGUGUUGCUGUUUGUCCUGAUGUUGCUGCCAGAGCAGAAAUAAACAGUCUGAAUAAACACUGACGGCCUGCAGCGUCUUCAUUUGGAGGGAACCCACGCCCACGCCGCCGCCGCACAAACACGCCGCCGGCCGGGUUUCAGGACGAGCUGAUAGUGGAGACUUUUCUCCUUUUGUUUACCAGCUGGAAAUAUGUUUCCUGGCUGAUUAAAUAGAAAACUGGCUCCUUG